Molecule: ribosomal RNA, 576 nt
Filed under: uncultured eukaryote
Lineage: Eukaryota
Description: SSU rRNA
Rfam family: Eukaryotic small subunit ribosomal RNA
Source: RNAcentral
UAAAAACCCCGACUUCGGAAGGGGUGUAUUUAUUAGAUACAAAACCAAUGCCCUUCGGGGCUCUUUGGUGAUUCAUGAUAACUAUACGAAUCGCACGGCCUUGCGCCGGCGAUGGUUCAUUCAAAUUUCUUCCCUAUCAACUUUCGAUGUUUGGGUAUUGGCCAAACAUGGUUGCAACGGGUAACGGAGGGUUAGGGCUCGACCCCGGAGAAGGAGCCUGAGAAACGGCUACUACAUCCAAGGAAGGCAGCAGGCGCGCAAAUUACCCAAUCCCGACUCGGGGAGGUAGUGACAAUAAAUACUGAUACAGGGCCCUUUCGGGCCUUGUAAUUGGAAUGAGUACAAUUUAAAUCCCUUAACGAGGAACAAUUGGAGGGCAAGUCUGGUGCCAGCAGCCGCGGUAAUUCCAGCUCCAAUAGCGUAUAUUAAAGUUGUUGUGGUUAAAAAGCUCGUAGUUGAACCUUGGGCCUGGCUGGCCGGUCCGCCUCACCGCGUGCACUGGUCCGGCCGGGCCUUUCCCUCUGUGGAACCCCAUACCCUUCACUGGGCGUGGCGGGGAAAACAGGACAUUUACUA